This 74-nucleotide transfer RNA is filed under the name Lutibacter profundi. It matches the Rfam family "tRNA". From Rfam's summary of the family: Transfer RNA (tRNA) molecules are approximately 80 nucleotides in length. Lineage: Bacteria; Pseudomonadati; Bacteroidota; Flavobacteriia; Flavobacteriales; Flavobacteriaceae. RNAcentral also lists the same sequence under 7 other names. The record is from Rfam by way of RNAcentral.
GGGGAUGUAGCUCAGUUGGCUAGAGCGCUUGACUGGCAGUCAAGAGGUCGUGGGUUCGACUCCCAUCUUCUCCA